GAGUUAUCUGAACCUUCNGGGAACGAUAACGGCGUCGAGCGGCGGACGGGUGAGUAAUGCCUAGGAAAUUGCCCUGAUGUGGGGGAUAACCAUUGGAAACGAUGGCUAAUACCGCAUGAUGCCUACGGGCCAAAGAGGGGGACCUUCGGGCCUCUCGCGUCAGGAUAUGCCUAGGUGGGAUUAGCUAGUUGGUGAGGUAAGGGCUCACCAAGGCGACGAUCCCUAGCUGGUCUGAGAGGAUGAUCAGCCACACUGGAACUGAGACACGGUCCAGACUCCUACGGGAGGCAGCAGUGGGGAAUAUUGCACAAUGGGCGCAAGCCUGAUGCAGCCAUGCCGCGUGUGUGAAGAAGGCCUUCGGGUUGUAAAGCACUUUCAGUCGUGAGGAAGGCGGUGUAGUUAAUAGCUGCNUUGUUUGACGUUAGCGACAGAAGAAGCACCGGCUAACUCCGUGCCAGCAGCCGCGGUAAUACGGAGGGUGCGAGCGUUAAUCGGAAUUACUGGGCGUAAAGCGCAUGCAGGUGGUUUGUUAAGUCAGAUGUGAAAGCCCGGGGCUCAACCUCGGAAUAGCAUUUGAAACUGGCAGACUAGAGUACUGUAGAGGG
Molecule: ribosomal RNA, 605 nt
Filed under: Vibrio sp. EPR225
Lineage: Bacteria; Pseudomonadati; Pseudomonadota; Gammaproteobacteria; Vibrionales; Vibrionaceae
Description: bacterial SSU rRNA
Rfam family: Bacterial small subunit ribosomal RNA
Source: RNAcentral